UACAGAGGUCUCAAGCGUUGUUCGGAUUCAUUGGGCGUAAAGGGUGCGUAGGUGGCGCCGUAAGUCAGGUGUGAAAUCCCGGGGCUCAACCCCGGAACUGCACUUGAUACUGCGGUGCUUGAGUACUGGAGAGGAGAUUGGAAUUUACGGUGUAGCAGUGAAAUGCGUAGAUAUCGUAAGGAAGACCAGUGGCGAAGGCGGCUCUCUGGGACGGUACUGACGCUGAGACGCGAAAGCGUGGGGAGCGAACAGG
Molecule: ribosomal RNA, 253 nt
Filed under: uncultured bacterium
Lineage: Bacteria
Description: partial 16S ribosomal RNA
Rfam family: Bacterial small subunit ribosomal RNA
Source: RNAcentral